This 584-nucleotide ribosomal RNA is filed under the name Geomyces sp. LKF08-085. RNAcentral's name for it is "eukaryotic LSU rRNA". The stretch from base 228 to 381 matches the Rfam family "5.8S ribosomal RNA". The record is from RNAcentral. Lineage: Eukaryota; Fungi; Ascomycota; Leotiomycetes; Thelebolales; Pseudeurotiaceae.
GAAGUAAAAAGUCGUAACAAGGUUUCCGUAGGUGAACCUGCGGAAGGAUCAUUACAGUAGUCGCCCGGGUUGCCGCAAGGCCUCCCGGGUAACCUACCACCCUUUGUUUAUUACACUUUGUUGCUUUGGCAGGCCUGCCCUCGGGCUGCUGGCUCCGGCCGGCGAGCGCUUGCCAGAGGACCUAAACUCUGUUUGUCUAUACUGUCUGAGUACUAUAUAAUAGUUAAAACUUUCAACAACGGAUCUCUUGGUUCUGGCAUCGAUGAAGAACGCAGCGAAAUGCGAUAAGUAAUGUGAAUUGCAGAAUUCAGUGAAUCAUCGAAUCUUUGAACGCACAUUGCGCCCCCUGGUAUUCCGGGGGGCAUGCCUGUCCGAGCGUCAUUACAACCCUCAAGCUCAGCUUGGUGUUGGGCCCCGCCGCCCCGGCGGGCCCUAAAGUCAGUGGCGGUGCCGUCCGGCUCCGAGCGUAGUAAUUCUUCUCGCUCUGGAGGUCCGGUCGUGUGCUCGCCAGCAACCCCCAAUUUUUUUCAGGUUGACCUCGGAUCAGGUAGGGAUACCCGCUGAACUUAAGCAUAUCAAUAAGC